GUCCGCCUCACCGCGUGCACUGGUCCGGCCGGGCCUUUCCUUCUGGGGAGCCGCAUGCCCUUCACUGGGUGUGUCGGGGAACCAGGACUUUUACCUUGAAAAAAUUAGAGUGUUCAAAGCAGGCCUAUGCUCGAAUACAUUAGCAUGGAAUAAUAGAAUAGGACGUGUGGUUCUAUUUUGUUGGUUUCUAGGACCGCCGUAAUGAUUAAUAGGGAUAGUCGGGGGCAUCAGUAUUCAAUUGU
This 242-nucleotide ribosomal RNA is filed under the name uncultured fungus. RNAcentral's name for it is "partial 18S ribosomal RNA". The stretch from base 77 to 242 matches the Rfam family "Eukaryotic small subunit ribosomal RNA", at positions 738 to 905 of the family's 1831-position model. Lineage: Eukaryota; Fungi. The record is from RNAcentral.